UGGGGAAUAUUGCACAAUGGGCGGAAGCCUGAUGCAGCAACGCCGCGUGCGGGAUGACGGCCUUCGGGUUGUAAACCGCUUUCAGCAGGGACGAAGCGUGAGUGACGGUACCUGCAGAAGAAGCACCGGCUAACUACGUGCCAGCAGCCGCGGUGAUACGUAGGGUGCGAGCGUUGUCCGGAUUUAUUGGGCGUAAAGAGCUUGUAGGCGGUUGGUUGCGUCGAAAGUGCAAACUCAGGGCUUAACUCUGAGCCUGCUUUCGAUACGGGCUGACUGGAGGAAGGUAGGGGAGAAUGGAAUUCCCGGUGGAGCGGUGGAAUGCGCAGAUAUCGGGAGGAACACCAGUGGCGAAGGCGGUUCUCUGGACCUUUCCUGACGCUGAGAAGCGAAAGCGUGGGGAGCAAACAG
RNAcentral lists this ribosomal RNA (408 nucleotides) under uncultured bacterium. RNAcentral describes it as "bacterial SSU rRNA". It matches the Rfam family "Bacterial small subunit ribosomal RNA", at positions 355 to 775 of the family's 1533-position model. The record is from RNAcentral.